RNAcentral lists this long non-coding RNA (986 nucleotides) under Vulpes vulpes (red fox). Its description in RNAcentral is "lncRNA (ENSVVUG00000011967.1)". The record is from RNAcentral. Lineage: Eukaryota; Metazoa; Chordata; Mammalia; Carnivora; Canidae.
CUUCUCCCGUUCUGUAGGUUGUCUUUUACUUUUGUGGACUGUUUCUUUUCCUGUGCAGGAGCUUUCAAUCUGGGUGAAGUCCCAAUACUUCAUUGUUGCUUUUGUUUCUCUUGCCCAUGCGGAUGUAUCUUGUGAGACGUUGCUCUGGCCAAGUUGAGAAUGGGNCUCCUUAAUUUUCGAGGCUCUUCUAACAGCAACCUGUCAACAGCUCUUUCUAUAUCCACUUAUUUCCCAGGAUCUACUGUGGAAACGCCAGAACGAGAACCGUGUAGACAACCUGGGGACACCCGCCCUGGAACGUGGGUGAAAAUACUUAAUUUAACAUCCCCUGUGGCACACACAGAAGUUGGAACCGUCCGUGGCAUCAUUAGAAGAUCUUGCCAAGGCUGUGGCGUCUGAGUUUGAAGAAUCCUUGAAAGACUCUCCACCCACUUCUAUGGGAAGCCUGCCCCAUUUUACCUGUAUUAGAAAUGUUGCUCUCUUGGUUUUCCUCUUUUUGAAGGGAAUGCACAUAUGGUCGCCUCAGAAAGCAGCGAAACUGGUGUGUAUUCUGGAAUCAUCAGUCUCUUGCUUAGGAAAAACUCUAAAUAGUAAGGCAGAUGGGGCAACCUUGCUGUCCUCACACCCAGACACCCUUGCUGUCCAGGCACCCAGAUUCCAUGUUCCUAAGGCUUGGGAGUGUGUGAGAUAGGCAGCUUUCCCAGGUGAGAAAAGAGGUCCGUGUUUCUACAUUCCUAGGAAGCCAAUGUAUUCUCUGUGCGUGGAGUGGCUGUGAGUGCAACAGGCUUGGGGGAGGUGACUUGUUGACUCUAUGCAGUGUGUGAGAGAGAGACAGACCGAUAGUGAGAGAGAGAGGAUAGAGACAGUGACACAGAGAAAUACAGAGAAAGUGAGGAGGAGAAUGAGUGAGGUAGACUCCCCAGCAGAUAUGUCCCACCGACACCACAAGAUGGACUCAGUCGACAUUCUUAAAAAAUAACAAAAAA